UCAGCUCGUGUCGUGAGAUGUUGGGUUAAGUCCGCAACGGCGCAACCCUUAUGGUUAGUUGCCAGCGGAUCAUGCCGGGCACUCUAGCUGAACUGCCGUUGACAAAACGGAGGAAGGUGGGGAUGACGUCAAAUCAUCAUGCCCUUUAUGUCCUGGGCUACACACGUGCUACAAUGGCCUGUACAGAGGGAAGCGAAAGGGUGACCUGGAGCGAAUCCCAAAAAGCAGGUCUCAGUUCGGAUUGCAGGCUGCAACCCGCCUGCAUGAAGUCGGAAUCGCUAGUAAUCGCAGGUCAGCAUACUGCGGUGAAUACGUUCCCGGGCCUU
This 326-nucleotide ribosomal RNA is filed under the name uncultured Desulfotomaculum sp. RNAcentral describes it as "bacterial SSU rRNA". It matches the Rfam family "Bacterial small subunit ribosomal RNA", at positions 1055 to 1382 of the family's 1533-position model. The record is from RNAcentral. Lineage: Bacteria; Bacillati; Bacillota; Clostridia; Eubacteriales; Desulfotomaculaceae.